This 341-nucleotide unclassified non-coding RNA is filed under the name soil metagenome. RNAcentral's name for it is "partial contains 5.8S ribosomal RNA, internal transcribed spacer 2, and large subunit ribosomal RNA". The stretch from base 1 to 120 matches the Rfam family "5.8S ribosomal RNA", at positions 35 to 154 of the family's 154-position model. The record is from RNAcentral.
GAUGAAGAACGUAGCGAAAUGCGAUAAGUAAUGUGAAUUGCAGAAUUCAGUGAAUCAUCGAAUCUUUGAACGCACAUUGCGCCCGCUAGUAUUCUGGCGGGCAUGCCUGUCCGAGCGUCAUUUCAACCCUCAAGCCCCCGGGCUUGGUGUUGGGGAUCGGCGAGCCUCCGCGCCCGCCGUCCCCUAAAUCUAGUGGCGGUCUCGCUGUAGCUUCCUCUGCGUAGUAGCACACCUCGCACUGGGAAACAGCGCGGCCACGCCGUUAAACCCCCAACUUCUGAACGUUUGACCUCGGAUCAGGUAGGAAUACCCGCUGAACUUAAGCAUAUCAAUAGCGGGGA